UGGGGAAUAUUGGACAAUGGGCGCAAGCCUGAUCCAGCCAUGCCGCGUGAGUGAUGAAGGCCCUAGGGUUGUAAAGCUCUUUCACCGGUGAAGAUGAUGACGGUAACCGGAGAAGAAGCCCCGGCUAACUUCGUGCCAGCAGCCGCGGUAAUACGAAGGGGGCUAGCGUUGUUCGGAUUUACUGGGCGUAAAGCGCACGUAGGCGGACUAUUAAGUCAGGGGUGAAAUCCCGGGGCUCAACCCCGGAACUGCCUUUGAUACUGGUAGUCUUGAGUUCGAGAGAGGUGAGUGGAAUUCCGAGUGUAGAGGUGAAAUUCGUAGAUAUUCGGAGGAACACCAGUGGCGAAGGCGGCUCACUGGCUCGAUACUGACGCUGAGGUGCGAAAGCGUGGGGAGCAAACAGG
This 404-nucleotide ribosomal RNA is filed under the name Actinomycetes bacterium. Its description in RNAcentral is "Actinobacteria bacterium partial 16S ribosomal RNA". It matches the Rfam family "Bacterial small subunit ribosomal RNA", at positions 355 to 776 of the family's 1533-position model. The record is from RNAcentral. Lineage: Bacteria; Bacillati; Actinomycetota; Actinomycetes.